Molecule: ribosomal RNA, 471 nt
Filed under: uncultured bacterium
Lineage: Bacteria
Description: bacterial SSU rRNA
Rfam family: Bacterial small subunit ribosomal RNA
Source: RNAcentral
ACUCCUACGGGAGGCAGCAGUGGGGAAUAUUGCACAAUGGGCGCAAGCCUGAUGCAGCCAUGCCGCGUGUAUGAAGAAGGCCUUCGGGUUGUAAAGUACUUUCAGCAGUGAGGAAGGUGGGUAUGUUAAUAGCAUACUCAUUUGUACGUUAGCUGCAGAAGAAGCACCGGCUAACUCCGUGCCAGCAGCCGCGGUAAUACGGAGGGUGCGAGCGUUAAUCGGAAUUACUGGGCGUAAAGCGCAUGCAGGUGGUUUGUUAAGUCAGAUGUGAAAGCCCGGGGCUCAACCUCGGAAUUGCAUUUGAAACUGGCAAACUAGAGUACUGUAGAGGGGGUAGAAUUUCAGGUGUAGCGGUGAAAUGCGUAGAGAUCUGAAGGAUACCGGUGGCGAAGCGGCCCCUGGACAGAUACUGACACUCAGAUGCGAAAGCGUGGGAGCAAACAGGAUUAGAUACCCCGUGGUAGGUCAGUC